RNAcentral lists this ribosomal RNA (273 nucleotides) under Cetobacterium somerae. RNAcentral describes it as "partial 23S ribosomal RNA". It matches the Rfam family "Bacterial large subunit ribosomal RNA", at positions 1 to 291 of the family's 2925-position model. The record is from RNAcentral. Lineage: Bacteria; Fusobacteriati; Fusobacteriota; Fusobacteriia; Fusobacteriales; Fusobacteriaceae.
AGGUUAAAAUAUUAAGGGCACACGAAGGAUGCCUAGGAAGUAAGAGCCGAUGAAGGACGUGGUAAGCUGCGAUAAGCUUGGGGGAGUUGCAAUCGAACUGUGAUGCCAAGAUUUCCAAAUGGAGAAAUCUGCUCAGAUGGAGUCUUAGCACGAAAGAGGGAACCGGGUGAACUGAAACAUCUCAGUAACACGCGGAAAAGAAAGUAAAAACGAUCCCCUAAGUAGCGGCGAGCGAACGGGGGUGAGCCAAACCCGUACAUGUGCCAAGGAUGC